GACGAACGCUGGCGGCGUGCUUAACACAUGCAAGUCGAACGAAGUGGCGAACGGGUGAGUAACGCGUAAUCAACCUGCCCUUCAGAGGGGGACAACAGUUGGCAACGACUGCUAAUACCUCAUACUGAAGGAGGGGAUUGAGUCUGAUGCGCUCGUUGGAGGGGUAACGGCCCACUAAGGCGAUGAUCAGUAGCCGGUUUGAGAGGAUGAACGGCAACAGUGGGAAUGAGACACGGCCCAGACUUCUACGGGAGGCAGCAGUGGGGAAUCUUCCGCAAUGGACGAAAGUCUGACGGAGCAAAGCCGCGGGAGUGAUGACGGCCUUCGGGUUGUAAAGCUCUGUUAAUCGGGACGCGGUACCGGAAUAGAAAGCCACGGCUAACUACGUGACAGCAGCCGCGGUAAUUC
Molecule: ribosomal RNA, 408 nt
Filed under: uncultured bacterium
Lineage: Bacteria
Description: partial 16S ribosomal RNA
Rfam family: Bacterial small subunit ribosomal RNA
Source: RNAcentral